Molecule: ribosomal RNA, 146 nt
Filed under: Botryotinia convoluta
Lineage: Eukaryota; Fungi; Ascomycota; Leotiomycetes; Helotiales; Sclerotiniaceae
Description: partial ITS1 ribosomal RNA
Source: RNAcentral
AGAGUUCAUGCCCGANAGGGUAGACCUCCCACCCUUGUGUAUUAUUACUUUNUUGCUUUGGCGAGCUGCCUUCGGGCCUUGUAUGCUCGCCAGAGAAUACCAAAACUCUUUUUAUUAAUGUCGUCUGAGUACUAUAUAAUAGUUAA